GAUGAACGCUAGCGGCGUGCCUAAUACAUGCAAGUCGAGCGAACAGACGAGGAGCUUGCUCCUCUGACGUUAGCGGCGGACGGGUGAGUAACACGUGGAUAACCUACCUAUAAGACUGGGAUAACUUCGGGAAACCGGAGCUAAUACCGGAUAAUAUAUUGAACCGCAUGGUUCAAUAGUGAAAGACGGUUUUGCUGUCACUUAUAGAUGGAUCCGCGCCGCAUUAGCUAGUUGGUAAGGUAACGGCUUACCAAGGCGACGAUGCGUAGCCGACCUGAGAGGGUGAUCGGCCACACUGGAACUGAGACACGGUCCAGACUCCUACGGGAGGCAGCAGUAGGGAAUCUUCCGCAAAGGGCGAAAGCCUGACGGAGCAACGCCGCGUGAGUGAUGAAGGUCUUCGGAUCGUAAAACUCUGUUAUUAGGGAAGAACAAAUGUGUAAGUAACUAUGCACGUCUUGACGGUACCUAAUCAGAAAGCCACGGCUAACUACGUG
Molecule: ribosomal RNA, 497 nt
Filed under: uncultured bacterium
Lineage: Bacteria
Description: partial 16S ribosomal RNA
Rfam family: Bacterial small subunit ribosomal RNA
Source: RNAcentral